This 378-nucleotide ribosomal RNA is filed under the name uncultured eukaryote. RNAcentral's name for it is "partial 18S ribosomal RNA". It matches the Rfam family "Eukaryotic small subunit ribosomal RNA", at positions 592 to 976 of the family's 1831-position model. The record is from RNAcentral.
CAAUAGCGUAUAUUAAAGUUGUUGCAGUUAAAAAGCUCGUAGUUGGAUUUCGGGACGGGCCAGUUGGUCCGCCGCAAGGUGUGUUACUGACUGGUCUGUUCUUCUUCGCAAAGACUGCGUGUGCUCUUCGUUGAAUGUGCGUAGGAUUUACGACGUUUACUUUGAAAAAAUUAGAGUGUUCAAAGCAGGCUAUCGCUUGAAUACAUGAGCAUGGAAUAAUGGAAUAGGACUUUGGUCCUAUUUUGUUGGUUUCUAGGACCGAAGUAAUGAUUAAGAGGGACAAUUGGGGGCAUCCGUAUUUCGUUGUCAGAGGUGAAAUUCUUGGAUUUACGAAAGACGAACAACUGCGAAAGCACUUGCCAAGAGUGUUUUCAUUAA